RNAcentral lists this ribosomal RNA (106 nucleotides) under bovine gut metagenome. The record is from RNAcentral.
UGGUGACUAUUGCACAGAGGUCACACCCGUUCCCAUCCCGAACACGGUAGUUAAGCUCUGCUGCGCCGAUGAUACUGGGUUUACCUGGGAAAGUAGGAGAUUGCCA